Molecule: transfer RNA, 91 nt
Filed under: Nitrososphaeria archaeon
Lineage: Archaea; Thermoproteati; Nitrososphaerota; Nitrososphaeria
Description: tRNA-Lys
Rfam family: tRNA
About the family: Transfer RNA (tRNA) molecules are approximately 80 nucleotides in length.
Source: RNAcentral
GGGCCCGUAGCUCAGCCAGGUAGAGAACAUGACCGCCUAAAGCGGCGGGCUCUUAACCCGUUGGUCGGGGGUUCGAAUCCCCCCGGGCCCG